RNAcentral lists this ribosomal RNA (300 nucleotides) under Triticum aestivum (bread wheat). Its description in RNAcentral is "partial small subunit ribosomal RNA". The record is from RNAcentral. Lineage: Eukaryota; Viridiplantae; Streptophyta; Magnoliopsida; Poales; Poaceae.
AUGUUGCCAGACGAGCAAAGGCGUGGUAGCGGCCAAGGCGAGAACUAUGGGAAGCUGAAGUCGCCUGCGUGUUUGUGUUCAUCACAGAAGGAAGAAGCAUGGUGUCCGCCGCCGGGGACAUGGAUGCAUGCGGGGGAGCAGCCGCAGAUUCAGGACCUUCUAUCGAUCUGUUGUGCCUUGAAGUUUGCGUUUAUCUUUGAGAAGUUCUGCCCCAUCCUCAGUCAUAUUCUGAAAUCCAUUGCCAAUUUGGCUUCAGGAAAAUUCAGUCGCACAAGAAGCAAGGCUAAGUUGUACUCCUAA